AAACCUAUAGAUUAGCAGACCUGUACGUUUUGUACCUUGUGUACUCCUGGCGGUAAACCCAUGAACCGUAUUGUGACAUGGUCGGCGUAGAACGGAAAAUAAGAUAUCACUUUGGUCGGAGCCUUCAGCCGAAUAAGUACCUAGUGGCAGAUAAGCUAUCCACGUAAAAGUGGCGAAUAUUUCAUUCUUGUUUCAAGUCAUAGUAUUAUUUUGAAAAGAAAUUAUCCAAGUUUAUUACGUAUGUGUUUAGUGGGCUGAAGAAACGAGGUUGGAGGUUCGCAGCAGUGAUUUGUGGUUUAUCUGCCACUGGGGAAAAUCUUUUAACUACUCCUACCACCUGAGAAGGACCGCUUUUCGACCAAGUCACCUAGGGGACAAGUACUAGAGGAACAUGUAAUUUUUGUUCUUCAUUAUCCUGCAUUUUGGAGAAUUGCCGUGUUACGGUUGACUGCGUAGCACCAUUCUGUGCUUAAGACUUUACUGAGAAGUAGUAAGGAAAACUUGUGGGGACAAUAUCAGGUCAAUCGGGUUUGUUUCGGGAACUUUUUAUAUUUAACAGUGCAAUAGUUAUCUACCUAUACCAGUACACUUAUACACUUAUUUUUUUUAUAAUAUCCAGAACAUUUAAGUAAUUAACAUACACAUAAUUCAAUAGCGCUCCCACACCUGUAUGUCUCUUUGUAAAAGAGGAUAAUUUGGGCCCAAAUAACCUUUUCCCAUACAGUAGUUCCUUACAUUUAUUUUUUAUUAAUAUUAUUAGACUUGUUUCCCAUAUUUUUCAUAUAACUAUAUAUAUAUUUUAAUAUUAUUAGCUUGUUUCUUGUAAUUUAAAUUCCCAAUUUGUUUGCUUAACUUAAAUUCAUUUGUUAUUAAAUUAAAUUCAAUCCCUAAUCCCUAUCCCUUCAGGAUAGCUAUUAGUUUCACUUGGUCAUUAUUAAAAACCACGAGUCAGAAAAAGGAUCUUUAUCAUCUAGGACUGCGUUGGUUCAGUUAGGUGUUGCCUAUUCAACUCAUUGAGUUAUAUAUAUUUGUAUGGUUCAUCCUAGGUAGGUAUUUUAGUAUUGAUUUCUUGUAGUAUUUAACGUUGCUGUACGUAUUACAAUCGUACGAUUAUUUGGUGAAGGUUGUUGUUUAACCUUAGUGUAAGUUGGGGGUACGCUCCAUAUAAGAGCUACCCCAGUACUAAUGUAAUUAUAGUUGUAUACUCAUAUUCAGAUAAGUAGUUAAGUCAAAUUGUCAUUUUAGAGUUACAUAGGUUGUAUUUUUUCUAACUCAGAGGUUGUCAAUAAUCUAGGUAGUUAUAUUUUAAUAAAUAUUUAUUUGUUUGUA
Molecule: long non-coding RNA, 1329 nt
Filed under: Diabrotica virgifera virgifera (western corn rootworm)
Lineage: Eukaryota; Metazoa; Arthropoda; Insecta; Coleoptera; Chrysomelidae
Description: uncharacterized LOC126892139
Source: RNAcentral